GACGAACGCUGGCGGCGUGCUUAACACAUGCAAGUCGAACGGAAAGGCCUGCUUUCCCUUGUGGAUUGCGGGUACUCGAGUGGCGAACGGGUGAGUAACACGUGAGUGAUCUGCCCCCAACUUGGGUAUAAGCCUGGGAAACUGGGUCUAAUUCCCGAUAGGACUGCAGGGUGGUGCCUGUGGUGGAAAACGAUUUUCUAGUGGUUGGGGAUGAGCUCGCGGCCUAUCAGCUUGUUGGUGGGGUAAUGGCUUACCAAGGCGGCGACGGGUAGCCGGCCUGAGAGGGUGGACGGUCAAAUUGGGACUGGGACACGGCCCAGACUCCUACGGGAAGCAGCAGUGGGGAAUAUUACACAAUGGGCGGAAGCCUGAUGCAGCGACGCCGCGUGGGGGAUGACGGCCUUCGGGUUGUAAACUCCUUUCGACCGCGGGGAAGCCACCUGGUUGGAAGGGUGGUGACGGUAGUGGUAGAAGAAGCACCGACUAACUACGUG
RNAcentral lists this ribosomal RNA (494 nucleotides) under uncultured bacterium. RNAcentral describes it as "partial 16S ribosomal RNA". It matches the Rfam family "Bacterial small subunit ribosomal RNA", at positions 28 to 507 of the family's 1533-position model. The record is from RNAcentral.